GCCCGGGCCGCGCCGCCUCGGGAGGGCACGGCAGGGCUCCCGCCCGAACACCGCGCAGUUAUCCAUUUACAGGGAGAUUUACGGAUUAACCCGUAUCUGCCGCGCCGCAGGGUGAGCGUGAGCUGAGACGGUGGAAGCCAUCCUUUCAGGGCAUGUAAAAUCAGCGAAAACAGCGUGGGAAUGGAUGCUGAGGACAAGGGAAAACUCCCACUGAUUUCAGUUGGUCCAGGAUCAAAGCUUAUGCAUCACUCCCUGCUGCAAACAGAAGAAGUGCAAUGGACUUGACAGAUGGAAAGAUUUACACAGUAUCUAUUCACAGUAACUUGGAACUUGGAACAAUUGAGUAACUUCCUCCAUGCCUCCCAAAAUGUCCCAUUUAAUUCUGAUCAUUUGCGGUUCUUAUAGCCUUGAGGAUCCCAAAGGACUUUCCAGCAUGACUCAGCUAAAGCUUACAAGAGGAAUUAUAUAUCUUCAAGGCUCUCUGUCAAAGUUGACUGAGAUUUAUGAACAAAUCCCAGAGUUAUUCGGAGCAGAUUGGUGUGGACAAACAUGAACAUGAGUCUCAUUUCCUUAGAAAAGCGAAAGGUAAGAUCACAAUUAACAUUUUAUAUGAAGCAAAGUGAUGAAGAGGAGAGUUCACUGACUUUUCAUCCCUGGAAUCACCCAAAUACUGGUUUACGUUCCAAGUAAGAUUAUAUAUGGUGGGUUUCACACCAGUGUUUACUGGUCAUAUCACAGUGCUGCUGUUGGGAAAAACUGAAUUUAUUAAGGCAGUAUAUUUUAAAAAUUGGCUUCAGCACCACACAGCUGGCAAGAAGGAAAAAAUAAUCUAAGGCAGCAUGUAAAAAACUUGUUCUCUAGUUAGACUGUGAUUUUUUUCAAUAACUGCCUCCAACUGCCUAUGACUCUGAUUGCAAUCAUAUACAGUCUGAUUGUUUCAAAAGUCUUAAAAAUAAAAUGUAGAUUUUGAAAUGCCAGCCUCCCACUAUUCUCCUCCAACCUUUUUCGUUUCAUGUCUUAUUGCUUACUUUGCGUUUUUCUUUCAUGGGAUCCUUCCUCUCACUGAUUUUUUCUUUCAGUAUCCCUUUCCUUUUAUCUCAUAACUGAGUGGAGCUUUAACAGCAGAAUAUGAGCCAGCAGACAAUGAAAAGAAGCUGAGGCAGCAAAUUCUGAAAGCACACCAAGCACAAAAGAAAAGAACAGUGCAGGUUAUUGGUACCAAAUUUGUGUGCCACAGGCUUGCUACCAACCAGAGCAAACCAGCAUAUCACUAGAAUCAUAAUUCUCCAAAGUAGAAGCUGGUUGGUACAGCAUGUUUGGAAGUGUUAUUUGUAGCUACUGCUAUUACAAUGAAGAACUGUUUAAAAGACCUUUUUUAAUCUUUUGCCUCGCAUGCUUGGGUUUUAAGUAAAAAGGGUUUAAUAAUCAAAAAGAAAAAUACCUGGGGAGGUACAAAAUACAACUGAGACAAAGACAUUAGAUGUUAGACAGGCUACAUAUUAGUUGGUCUGGAGCAUGAUGAUGUAGAAGGUCUUCAUGUAACAUAUGAAAAGAAAACAACUUUGAAAAAUCAUCUCCUUCCUGAAAGCAAAAAAUACAAAUAGCUUAUUUGGGGCUGCUAUACACAAUCAAUCGUUAUUAGGCCAUUACAAUGAAUCCUAUUGACGGGGACUGAAUUCACAAAAGAAAGGGAAUGCCAAUUUUUGCCCCGAGAUAGACCUGUGGGCAAUUUUGAGGAGGCCAGGGCAAGACUUGAGCUACUGUUAACAUCAGUUUGUGACAGAGCAUCAAACCCUGCUUGAUUUUUACUCUCACUGAAGUUUCCUGGAUAACGCCCUGAUUGCUCUGUAAUGCACCUCAACUUUAUGGGAAGGCCAUGAGAAAGCUCUGUAAACAAUGGAAUAAAUUUUUGAAGAUCCUUUUCUUGCCAUUUUGGGAAACUGAUAACAUUUGUACAAGAGCAAGCUAGUCAUUACUCAAAUCAGAAAUGAAAGAACUAUGACAAUGGGAAAAACAGCAGACUGAUUUUAAACUAGAUCCAUGAAAAACCCAAGGAACUCUCUUCUCUUCUGCAGUCUUGAACUAAAAUACACCAAGUAUUUCCUGUUUUUUAACAUGCUUUCUGUAAGGGAUGUUAACUGAAAGACAAAGGUGAUGAGAGGACAAGGCUCUUUUUAACAAAUAUGCUUGUAAAACAGCUACAGCUCAAAUACAGCUGGGUGGCACAGAAGAUAUAAUGAAAUAAAAUCUCUUGUAAAAUUUAGUGCUACAUGUCAGACAAGCUGUUGAUGUAAGAAUGCACAAAUUGAGCGGCAGUACAAGGUGGAAUGGGAUGCUUCUCAAGGAUUUCUCCAGUUCCUGCUCCCAACCUCUCUCUCCUUAAAAUUCUCCUCUAAUAAAUGAGUGUCAGUAUGGAUACGUGCUUCUGUCUUUCAUUCAUCAUUUCUUUGGCUAUUUGGGUCUGUGACAAACCUUUGCAAACUUUUCUUGUUUGCUAAUUAGUGUGAAGCGUACUGCAAACUUAUCACUACUUUUUUCACUACAAAAUCAAGCAAGUCACAGUUCCACAAAACGUUAAUUAACUUUCCAUUUGAGAACAAAAAGGAUACACUUUAAAUGUGUUUUUAUUGCCUUAGUAUUAAAUGUUACAGAAAAAUGUCUUCUGCAGCAAAACACACAGAAGAGCAGGGAUGAGCACAAAGCAAACGAAUAAGAAAGUAAAUUAUCUAUGAAAUCAGUUGUUUCAAUGCUACAGGGAACAAUAAUACAAAUUUGGAAACAGCUUUUCCUCCUUCGGAGAAUGCAGCACUUUUUUUUCUUUAUUGGAGCUCCUAGCAUAGGUCAAAGUGGCUGCAUUAUACUGAGAUUUAGAUUCUUUUCCACCUAGAGAGAGCUAAACAUGGUCACCAAAAAGUUUAUUUUGUUGGAAUGGAAGAAAAGCCUAGUCCUGAGGAAGACCGCAAUUUUUUACUCUGUCUUGUCAAGAUAAUAGCUAUGAAAUGUAUUCUUUUCAGAUGCUGAACAGAAAGAUAAGGGGAAUUUGGAGCAUUAAAACGUGGAUUCCACAUUGCAACUACUUUGCAGAUCCCUAUUCCAAUCAGUUUCUACCGACUUCCAAAAGCAUAACUUCUCCAGGAACGCAGCUAACACGAACACUUUACUGAGGUGCUUCAACAGAACUCCAUAAAUCUUAGGUUCUGUCAUGCUUUCUUCUCUUAGCACUUCUAGAAAACGGGAUUCUGAAGUGAAGAAAUGACUGAUAUCCUUAUCUUUUGGUCCACACUAACAUAUUAAACAAUACCUUCCUAUGCCUCAGAUGCCAAAUGAAACCACAGUGCAACUAAAGUUACCUAAAUUCCUGGAGGUGCAGCCAAGUCUUUGGCACCACAGUUCAUUUGAUGUCAGCACUUGGUUCUUCUGGUUAAGUCACAAGUUGUGUGUUAUUUUCUUUGAAGUGUUUAUAGACUGGCAAAUUCUUCUGAAGAUCUGUUCACAGGCUA
Molecule: non-coding RNA, 3500 nt
Organism: Struthio camelus australis
Lineage: Eukaryota; Metazoa; Chordata; Aves; Struthioniformes; Struthionidae
Source: RefSeq, a predicted model, not a curated record